RNAcentral lists this ribosomal RNA (434 nucleotides) under uncultured bacterium. Its description in RNAcentral is "partial 16S ribosomal RNA". It matches the Rfam family "Bacterial small subunit ribosomal RNA", at positions 29 to 507 of the family's 1533-position model. The record is from RNAcentral.
AGCGAACGCUGGCGGCAGGCCUAACACAUGCAAGUCGAACGAACCUUUCGGGGUUAGUGGCGGACGGGUGAGUAACACGUGGGAACGUGCCUUUAGGUUCGGAAUAACUCAGGGAAACUUGUGCUAAUACCGAAUGUGCCCUUCGGGGGAAAGAUUUAUCGCCUUUAGAGCGGCCCGCGUCUGAUUAGCUAGUUGGUUGAGGUAAUGGCUCACCAAGGCGACGAUCAGUAGCUGGUCUGAGAGGAUGAUCAGCCACAUUGGGACUGAGACACGGCCCAAACUCCUACGGGAGGAAGCAGUGGGGAAUCUUGCGAAAUGGGCGAAAGCCUGACGCAGCCAUGCCGCGUGAAUGAUGAAGGUCUUAGGAUUGUAAAAUUCUUUCACCGGGGACGAUAAUGACGGUACCCGGAGAAGAAGCCCCGGCUAACUUCGUG